AGCAGGAGUCCAGGGUGCACUACACCGUGUGCAUCUGGCGGAAUGGCAAGGUGGGACUGUCUGGCAUGGCCAUCGCGGACAUCACCCUCCUGAGUGGAUUCCACGCCCUGCGUGCUGACCUGGAGAAGCUGACCUCCCUCUCUGACCGUUACGUGAGUCACUUUGAGACCGAGGGGCCCCACGUCCUGCUGUAUUUUGACUCGGUCCCCACCUCUCGGGAGUGCGUGGGCUUUGAGGCUGUGCAGGAAGUGCCGGUGGGGCUGGUGCAGCCGGCCAGCGCAACCCUGUACGACUACUACAACCCCGAGCGCAGAUGUUCUGUGUUUUACGGGGCACCAAGUAAGAGCAGACUCUUGGCCACUUUGUGUUCUGCUGAAGUCUGCCAGUGUGCUGAGGGGAAGUGCCCUCGCCAGCGUCGCGCCCUGGAGCGGGGUCUGCAGGACGAGGAUGGCUACAGGAUGAAGUUUGCCUGCUACUACCCCCGUGUGGAGUACGGCUUCCAGGUUAAGGUUCUCCGAGAAGACAGCAGAGCUGCUUUCCGCCUCUUUGAGACCAAGAUCACCCAAGUCCUGCACUUCAGUAUGAAGCAAACCGGAGAGGCGGGCAGGGCUGGGGGGAGACAGGGAGGCUGAGGUGUGGCCGAGGACCUGACCAUCUGGAAGUGUGAAAAUCCCCUUGGCCUGUCAGAGGCCUUGGACUUGGCCAUAAAUAGGGAGGCAGUGGCACCUCUCCAUGGGGGUGGCGAAGGUGGAAUGAGAGGAUCUAUACAGAGCCCCCAGCCUGGGCUCACCCUGCACCUUCUCUUCCCCUCUGACCGCUUUUGCGCACAUCAUCCCCGCAGCCAAGGAUGUCAAGGCCACUGCUAAUCAGAUGCGCAACUUCCUGGUUCGAGCUUCCUGCCGCCUUCGCUUGGAACCUGGGAAAGAAUAUUUGAUCAUGGGUCUGGAUGGGGCCACCUACGACCUCGAGGGACACCCCCAGUACCUGCUGGACUCGAAUAGCUGGAUCGAGGAGAUGCCCUCUGAACGCCUGUGCCGGAGCACCCGCCAGCGGGCAGCCUUGCCCAGCUCAACGACUUCCUCCAGGAGUAUGGCACUCAGGGGUGCCAGGUGUGAGGGCUGCCCUCCCACCUCCCCUGGGAGGAACCUGAGCCUGGGAACCAUGAAGCUGGAA
Molecule: small RNA, 1173 nt
Filed under: Pongo abelii (Sumatran orangutan)
Lineage: Eukaryota; Metazoa; Chordata; Mammalia; Primates; Hominidae
Description: retained intron
Source: RNAcentral